AAACUUUCAACAACGGAUCUCUUGGUUCUGGCAUCGAUGAAGAACGCAGCGAAAUGCGAUAAGUAAUGUGAAUUGCAGAAUUCAGUGAAUCAUCGAAUCUUUGAACGCACAUUGCGCCCCCUGGUAUUCCGGGGGGUAUGCCUGUUCGAGCGUCAUU
RNAcentral lists this ribosomal RNA (157 nucleotides) under Xanthoria ectaneoides. RNAcentral describes it as "5.8S ribosomal RNA". It matches the Rfam family "5.8S ribosomal RNA". From Rfam's summary of the family: 5.8S ribosomal RNA (5.8S rRNA) is a component of the large subunit of the eukaryotic ribosome. Lineage: Eukaryota; Fungi; Ascomycota; Lecanoromycetes; Teloschistales; Teloschistaceae. RNAcentral also lists the same sequence under 2 other names. The record is from RNAcentral.